CGCCGCGUGAGUGAUGAAGGCCUUCGGGUCGUAAAGCUCUGUCAGAUGGGAAGAAACCUACGCAAGUAGCUGACGGUACCAUCAAAGGAAGCACCGGCUAACUCCGUGCCAGCAGCCGCGGUAAUACGGAGGGUGCAAGCGUUGUUCGGAAUCACUGGGCGUAAAGGGAGCGUAGGCGGACCCUAAAGUCUGAUGUGAAAGCCCGGGGCUCAACUCCGGAAGUGCAUUGGAAACUUAGGGUCUUGAGUUCGGGAGAGGAAGGCAGAAUUCCCGGUGUAGGGGUGAAAUCCGUAGAGAUCGGGAGGAAAACCAGUGGCGAAGGCGGCCUUCUGGAACGAAACUGACGCUGAGGCUCGAAAGCGUGGGGAGCAAACAGGAUUAGAUACCCUGGUAGUCC
RNAcentral lists this ribosomal RNA (397 nucleotides) under uncultured Deferrisoma sp. Its description in RNAcentral is "bacterial SSU rRNA". It matches the Rfam family "Bacterial small subunit ribosomal RNA", at positions 395 to 796 of the family's 1533-position model. Lineage: Bacteria; Pseudomonadati; Thermodesulfobacteriota; Deferrisomatia; Deferrisomatales; Deferrisomataceae. The record is from RNAcentral.